UAAGCGUGUAGGUGUGUGUUCCAGGUAAAUCCGGUUCACUUUAACACUGAGGCGUGACGACGAGGCACUACGGUGCUGAAGCAACAAAUGCCCUGCUUCCAGGAAAAGCCUCUAAGCAUCAGGUAACAUCAAAUCGUACCCCAAACCGACACAGGUGGUCAGGUAGAGAAUACCAAGGCGCUUGAGAGAACUCGGGUGAAGGAACUAGGCAAAAUGGUGCCGUAACUUCGGGAGAAGGCACGCUGACACGUAGGUGAAGUGAUUUACUCAUGGAGCUGAAGUCAGUCGAAGAUACCAGCUGGCUGCAACUGUUUAUUAAAAACACAGCACUGUGCAAACACGAAAGUGGACGUAUACGGUGUGACGCCUGCCCGGUGCCGGAAGGUUAAUUGAUGGGGUCAGCGCAAGCGAAGCUCCUGAUCGAAGCCCCGGUAAACGGCGGCCGUAACUAUAACGGUCCUAAGGUAGCGAAAUUCCUUGUCGGGUAAGUUCCGACCUGCACGAAUGGCGUAAUGAUGGCCAGGCUGUCUCCACCCGAGACUCAGUGAAAUUGAACUCGCUGUGAAGAUGCAGUGUACCCGCGGCAAGACGGAAAGACCCCGUGAACCUUUACUAUAGCUUGACACUGAACAUUGAGCCUUGAUGUGUAGGAUAGGUGGGAGGCUUUGAAGCGUGGACGCCAGUCUGCGUGGAGCCGGCCUUGAAAUACCACCCUUUAAUGUUUGAUGUUCUAACGUGGACCCGUGAUCCGGGUUGCGGACAGUGUCUGGUGGGUAGUUUGACUGGGGCGGUCUCCUCCUAAAGAGUAACGGAGGAGCACGAAGGUUGGCUAAUCCUGGUCGGACAUCAGGAGGUUAGUGCAAUGGCAUAAGCCAGCUUGACUGCGAGCGUGACGGCGCGAGCAGGUGCGAAAGCAGGUCAUAGUGAUCCGGUGGUUCUGAAUGGAAGGGCCAUCGCUCAACGGAUAAAAGGUACUCCGGGGAUAACAGGCUGAUACCGCCCAAGAGUUCAUAUCGACGGCGGUGUUUGGCACCUCGAUGUCGGCUCAUCACAUCCUGGGGCUGAAGUAGGUCCCAAGGGUAUGGCUGUUCGCCAUUUAAAGUGGUACGCGAGCUGGGUUUAGAACGUCGUGAGACAGUUCGGUCCCUAUCUGCCGUGGGCGCUGGAGAACUGAGGGGGGCUGCUCCUAGUACGAGAGGACCGGAGUGGACGCAUCACUGGUGUUCGGGUUGUCAUGCC
RNAcentral lists this ribosomal RNA (1239 nucleotides) under Salmonella enterica subsp. enterica serovar Stanley. RNAcentral describes it as "partial 23S ribosomal RNA". It matches the Rfam family "Bacterial large subunit ribosomal RNA", at positions 1513 to 2730 of the family's 2925-position model. Lineage: Bacteria; Pseudomonadati; Pseudomonadota; Gammaproteobacteria; Enterobacterales; Enterobacteriaceae. The record is from RNAcentral.